UACGUAGGCAGCGAGCGUUGUUCGGAGUUACUGGGCGUAAAGGGUGUGUAGGCGGUUGUUUAAGUUUGGUGUGAAAUCUCCCGGCUCAACUGGGAGGGUGCGCCGAAUACUGAAUGACUUGGAGUGCGGGAGAGGUGAGUGGAAUUCCUGGUGUAGCGGUGAAAUGCGUGGAUAUCAGGAGGAACACCGGUGGUGUAGACGGCUCACUGGACCGUAACUGACGCUGAGACACGAAAGCGUGGGUAGCAAACAGG
This 254-nucleotide ribosomal RNA is filed under the name uncultured bacterium. Its description in RNAcentral is "partial 16S ribosomal RNA". It matches the Rfam family "Bacterial small subunit ribosomal RNA", at positions 524 to 776 of the family's 1533-position model. The record is from RNAcentral.